Molecule: small nucleolar RNA, 107 nt
Organism: Dioscorea cayenensis subsp. rotundata (Guinea yam)
Lineage: Eukaryota; Viridiplantae; Streptophyta; Magnoliopsida; Dioscoreales; Dioscoreaceae
Source: RefSeq, a predicted model, not a curated record
AGGUUGUGAUGUGGGCAUUUCCUCAACAAAUCUUUAAGUCUCUUCCAUGCCUCAAAUAAUGAUUCAGUGUCCAACUGUGCAUAUGCUAUAAUCUCUUAUCGCAACUU